GACGAACGCUGGCGGCGUGCUUAACACAUGCCAGUCGAACGGAAAGGCCCUGCUUUUGUGGGGUGCUCGAGUGGCGCAAGGGUGUGUAACACGUGAGUAUCCUGCCCUUGACUUUGGGAUAACUUUAGGAAACUGGGGCUAAUACCGGAUAGGAGCUCCUGCUGCAUGGUGGGGGUUGGAAAGUUUCGGCGGUUGGGGAUGGACUCGCGGCUUAUCAGCUUGUUGGUGGGGUAGUGGCUUACCAAGGCUUUGACGGGUAGCCGGCCUGAGAGGGUGACCGGCCACAUUGGGACUGAGAUACGGCCCAGACUCCUACGGGAGGCAGCAGUGGGGAAUAUUGCACAAUGGGCGGAGGCCUGAUGCAGCAACGCCGCGUGCGGGAUGACGGCCUUCGGGUUGUAAACCGCUUUCGCCUGUGACGAAGCGUGAGUGACGGUAAUGGGUAAAGAAGCACCGGCUAACUACGUG
This 468-nucleotide ribosomal RNA is filed under the name uncultured bacterium. Its description in RNAcentral is "partial 16S ribosomal RNA". It matches the Rfam family "Bacterial small subunit ribosomal RNA", at positions 28 to 507 of the family's 1533-position model. The record is from RNAcentral.